GACGAACGCUGGCGGCGUGGAUUAGGCAUGCAAGUCGAACGGUAUGGACCUUUCGGGGUUCAGAGAGUGGCGAACGGGUGAGUAACACGUAGGUAAUCUACCCUCAAGACGGGGACAACCCAGGGAAACUUGGGCUAAUACCGGAUGUGUGUAGUGGCUAUUUUUCUGAUUAUCAUUAUUUACGUAAGUGAGUAAUAAUAAGAAGGGAAAGUGGUUAUUACAUAAAAGGUGGCGUAAGUUGCCGCUUGGGGAUGAGCCUGCGUCCUAUUAGUUAGUUGGUGAGGUAACGGCUUACCAAGGCGAUGAUAGGUAGGCGGCCUUAACGGGUGGUCGCCCACACUGGGAUUGAGAUACGGCCCAGACUCCUACGGGAGGCAGCAGUCGAGAAUAGUCUACAAUGGACGGAAGUCUGAUAGUGCGACGCCGCGUGAACGAAGAAUCCCUUCGGGUGUAAAGUUCUUUUAUACGUGAGCAGUGUCCUUUAUAUUAAUAGUAUAAGGGGAGAGAUAUUAGCGUAUGAAUAAGCAACGGCUAACUCCG
This 540-nucleotide ribosomal RNA is filed under the name uncultured bacterium. RNAcentral describes it as "bacterial SSU rRNA". It matches the Rfam family "Bacterial small subunit ribosomal RNA", at positions 28 to 505 of the family's 1533-position model. The record is from RNAcentral.